Long non-coding RNA from Neofelis nebulosa (Clouded leopard), 918 nucleotides. RefSeq lists it as uncharacterized. The transcript is spliced from 2 exons. Lineage: Eukaryota; Metazoa; Chordata; Mammalia; Carnivora; Felidae. The record is from RefSeq and is a predicted model, not a curated record.
GGCCCCGCCCCCGCACGCAGGCCCCGCCCCGUGCUGUAGGCUUAGGACUGCGACUCUCCGGCGCCCCGGCCGAGGCCCCGCCCCCACGUAACGGCCCCGCCCCUGCUCGCCCUCGGCAGGCCGGAGCUGCCGAGCGCCGAGCGGGCCAGUGGGCGGGCCCUCCUUUGGGGACCGCGCAGGGUUUCCGGCGCCUCCCAGCGGCCGCCUACGCGAGCCACAGCCGGUGCAGCGCUCGCUCGCUUGCAAUUCGUAGGUCUGUGUCUUGGGCUUGGAGGGGCACCCCAGGCCCGAGAUGGAGCGUUGCGCGUCCCAGCCUGCGCCUCGAGUGCCAAGGAGACUCCUAGGACCAGACUGUGUUCCCACCUUGACUCACCGCGGCUCUGCACCGGUUGGGUAUUCUCACCAUAGCAGAGCCCCUCCUACAAGUAUGAGAAGAAAAGAAAGAAAAGUGAAAGAAAGAAAAAAGAGAGAGAGAAAUACCACUGGCCCAGGGUAGAGAUGCCCACGGACAGGUUCCUGGCGGACCCAGAGUGAGGACGGCUGCUCAGAACCCGUGUCUCCGGUCGCAUUGCAAACGCCCCGGCAGCAACACGCAGGAGGAAGACUCUGGCAGCGACCACAGCAAACCCUUGCCUCCUACGGACACUGGCACAAACAGGCAAAUCCCCCAAGGAUGGAUUGGGUCCACGGGAUGCGGACUAGGUUAUAGGAAAGUGGUGCUAAAUAUCUCACUGUGUUCCCAGCUUCCAUUGAGGGCAGGACCAGACCAGAAACUGUGUAAACUUCCAAGAACGUGGCCUUGCUUGGCGUGUUCAUGGGUCGUUUGACCCAUGAUAUACAUGGGACUAAACCCUUGACUCAUGAUUUUCUACAGCAUAUCACUAAUCAGCAAAAUAAAGAACAAGAGUUUUCAGGCCA